This 690-nucleotide long non-coding RNA is filed under the name Durio zibethinus. RNAcentral's name for it is "long non-coding RNA (DZIB_LNC000151)". The record is from RNAcentral. Lineage: Eukaryota; Viridiplantae; Streptophyta; Magnoliopsida; Malvales; Malvaceae.
GACAAAUCUAUUUCAGGGCACUAGAUUAGUGGUAGGCCAAUUUCACCUCUCUCCCGUAACCCUUUAUAUAUCUCCUCCUUUCCUUUAUUUUUUUUCCCCCUUUCUCCUUAAGUCUUUUUUUUCAAAGCUUCUAUUGGUGGUUGAUUUGAUCGGUCCAAAACAGACCGAUAAUGGAUCUAUCUUAAGGCUAGCCAAGUGCCUCUUUCCUCUUCUUUCUCUCCUUUCCAUUUCUUUAUUUCCCUCUUUAUCAUUUUUGUUUUUUCCCACUUUUUUGAUUCUUUUCUUCUUCCUUGCUUUCCCUAUCUAGCAAUUUAUUGGCUAAUCGGCUAGACACGAUCAUACAGAGUUAAUCAUCUGAAAAAUAAAUUCAAUUAUUUUGAUUGAACUUAUGUGUCACCCCGUGAUACUCAAUGAGAAAAGGGCGGUUGCUUUCCUUGAUGCCUUUCAAAGUUGUUUUUCUUUGGUAUAAAGGUCAAAAAAAUUUUCAAACAAAAAAUUAAUAAUAAUAUUUUAUUAUAAUUAAUUAAAUUUUAAUUUUUUUUAAUUUCAAAUCAAGUAAACUCUUAAAUAUUUAUUAUCCUCCAAUUGUACUUUUAUAUGUAUAUAUAUUUCAUUCAAUUAAACUUUUCAUUGGAUGAAAACAAUUAAUUAGUUUUUUAAUAAGAAUUCAAUUAAUGAAAAUAAAGGUUU